Molecule: non-coding RNA, 32 nt
Filed under: Rattus norvegicus (Norway rat)
Lineage: Eukaryota; Metazoa; Chordata; Mammalia; Rodentia; Muridae
Source: RNAcentral
UACAAAGUCAAUUAUAUAAAGUCAUGGUAAGC